Molecule: long non-coding RNA, 496 nt
Filed under: Homo sapiens (human)
Lineage: Eukaryota; Metazoa; Chordata; Mammalia; Primates; Hominidae
Description: non-protein coding lnc-RBKS-1:4
Source: RNAcentral
CUCGGGUUGGCGAGGUCCGGGAGCCCUCGGUGCCGCGAUGGGAAGUGCUUGCCCACGGCCCGGCCUGGGGACACACUCCCGCGCCCUCCAGGCCCCUGAGCUGUUCCUGGGAAAGGGCGUGAACGAAGCUCCCGCACAACCCCUUUCUUUCUCUUGGCACUUCCCAGUAAACCCUCCAGGUGUCCAGCUACACGACUGGACCUCAGUGCCCACUACAUGGACAAGCCUUGAAACUCAUCCAUCCAAACAUCAGAUAAACCUAAACUGAGAGACAUUUCACAAAACUACACAAAGAUGAAGAAGGGCUGAGGAACUGCACCAGACCGAAGGAAAGGAAAGAGACAGAACAACUAGAUGCAGUGCGUGAUCCCAGCUUGCAUCUUGGAUGGGGGGGAAAUUGCUGUUAAGGACAUAAUUGGCAAAAUUUGCAUGUGGAUUAUAUAACAGUAAUAUUGUAUCAAUGUUAAAUUUCCUGAAUUGGAUCAUUGAAACGUGG